This 430-nucleotide ribosomal RNA is filed under the name uncultured bacterium. RNAcentral describes it as "partial 16S ribosomal RNA". It matches the Rfam family "Bacterial small subunit ribosomal RNA", at positions 338 to 795 of the family's 1533-position model. The record is from RNAcentral.
CCUACGGGUGGCAGCAGUAGGGAAUCUUGGACAAUGGGCGAAAGCCUGAUCCAGCCAUGCCGCGUGAGUGAAGAAGGCCUUAGGGUUGUAAAGCUCUUUUGGCGGGGACGCGGUACCCGCAGAAUAAGCCCCGGCUAACUUCGUGCCAGCAGCCGCGGUAAUACGAAGGGGGCUAGCGUUGUUCGGAAUUACUGGGCGUAAAGCGCACGCAGGCGGAUUGAUAAGUCGGGGGUGAAAUCCCGGGGCUCAACCUCGGAAUUGCCUUCGAUACUGUUAGUCUUGAGUCCGGGAGAGGUGAGUGGAAUUCCUAGUGUAGAGGUGAAAUUCGUAGAUAUUAGGAAGAACACCAGUGGCGAAGGCGGCUCACUGGCCCGGACUGACGCUCAUGUGCGAAGCGUGGGGAGCAACAGGAUUAGAUACCCUUGUAGUC